Molecule: ribosomal RNA, 468 nt
Filed under: uncultured bacterium
Lineage: Bacteria
Description: partial 16S ribosomal RNA
Rfam family: Bacterial small subunit ribosomal RNA
Source: RNAcentral
GGACGAACGCUGGCGGCGUGCUUAACCCAUGCAAGUCGAACGGAAAGGCCCUGCUUUUGUGGGGUGCUCGAGUGGCGAACGGGUGAGUAACACGUGAGUAACCUGCCCUUGACUUUGGGAUAACUUCAGGAAACUGGGGCUAAUACCGGAUAGGAGCUCCUGCUGCAUGGUGGGGGUUGGAAAGUUUCGGCGGUUGGGGAUGGACUCGCGGCUUAUCAGCUUGUUGGUGGGGUAGUGGCUUACCAAGGCUUUGACGGGUAGCCGGCCUGAGAGGGUGACCGGCCACAUUGGGACUGAGAUACGGCCCAGACUCCUACGGGAGGCAGCAGUGGGGAAUAUUGCACAAUGGGCGGAAGCCUGAUGCAGCAACGCCGCGUGCGGGAUGACGGCCUUCGGGUUGUAAACCGCUUUCGCCUGUGACGAAGCGUGAGUGACGGUAAUGGGGAAAGAAGCACCGGCUAACUACGU